GAUGAACGCUGGCGGCGUGCCUAACACAUGCAAGUCGAACGGAGCUGCUUUGAUGAAGUUUUCGGAUGGAUUUAAAGCAGCUUAGUGGCGGACGGGUGAGUAACGCGUGGGUAACCUGCCUCACACUGGGGGAUAACAGUUAGAAAUAGCUGCUAAUACCGCAUAAGCGCACGGUUCCGCAUGGAACAGUGUGAAAAACUCCGGUGGUGUGAGAUGGACCCGCGUCUGAUUAGCUUGUUGGUGAGGUAACGGCCCACCAAGGCGACGAUCAGUAGCCGGCCUGAGAGGGUGAACGGCCACAUUGGGACUGAGACACGGCCCAAAUCCUACGGAGGCAGCAGUGGGGAAUAUUGCACAAUGGGGGAAACCCUGAUGCAGCGACGCCGCGUGAGUGAUGAAGUAUUUCGGUAUGUAAAACUCUAUCAGCAGGGAAGAUAAAUGACGGUACCUGACUAAGAAGCACCGGCUAAAUACGUGCCAGCAGCC
Molecule: ribosomal RNA, 486 nt
Filed under: uncultured bacterium
Lineage: Bacteria
Description: bacterial SSU rRNA
Rfam family: Bacterial small subunit ribosomal RNA
Source: RNAcentral